Molecule: ribosomal RNA, 467 nt
Filed under: uncultured bacterium
Lineage: Bacteria
Description: partial 16S ribosomal RNA
Rfam family: Bacterial small subunit ribosomal RNA
Source: RNAcentral
GACGAACGCUGGCGGCGUGCUUAACACAUGCAAGUCGAACGGAAAGGCCCUGCUUUUGUGGGGUGCUCGAGUGGCGAACGGGUGAGUAACACGUGAGUAACCUGCCCUUGACUUUGGGAUAACUUCAGGAAACUGGGGCUAAUACCGGAUAGGAGCUCCUGCUGCAUGGUGGGGGUUGGAAAGUUUCGGCGGUUGGGGAUGGACUCGCGGCUUAUCAGCUUGUUGGUGGGGUAGUGGCUUACCAAGGCUUUGACGGGUAGCCGGCCUGAGAGGGUGACCGGCCACAUUGGGACUGAGAUACGGCCCAGACUCCUACGGGAGGCAGCAGUGGGGAAUAUAGCACAAUGGGCGGAAGCCUGAUGCAGCAACGCCGCGUGCGGGAUGACGGCCUUCGGGUUGUAAACCGCUUUCGCCUGUGACGAAGCGUGAGGGACGGUAAUGGGUAAAGAAGCACCGGCGAACUACGU